This 67-nucleotide transfer RNA is filed under the name Parascardovia denticolens. It matches the Rfam family "tRNA", at positions 5 to 66 of the family's 71-position model. Rfam says of the family: Transfer RNA (tRNA) molecules are approximately 80 nucleotides in length. Their secondary structure includes four short double-helical elements and three loops (D, anti-codon, and T loops). RNAcentral also lists the same sequence under 2 other names. Lineage: Bacteria; Bacillati; Actinomycetota; Actinomycetes; Bifidobacteriales; Bifidobacteriaceae. The record is from RNAcentral.
CAGUAGCCCAACGGAUUAGAGCAUCUGACUACGGAUCAGAAGGUUGCAGGUUCGAAUCCUGUCUGGC